RNAcentral lists this ribosomal RNA (342 nucleotides) under Serratia marcescens. RNAcentral describes it as "bacterial SSU rRNA". It matches the Rfam family "Bacterial small subunit ribosomal RNA", at positions 91 to 436 of the family's 1533-position model. Lineage: Bacteria; Pseudomonadati; Pseudomonadota; Gammaproteobacteria; Enterobacterales; Yersiniaceae. The record is from RNAcentral.
ACGAGCGGCGGACGGGUGAGUAAUGUCUGGGAAACUGCCUGAUGGAGGGGGAUAACUACUGGAAACGGUAGCUAAUACCGCAUAACGUCGCAAGACCAAAGAGGGGGACCUUCGGGCCUCUUGCCAUCAGAUGUGCCCAGAUGGGAUUAGCUAGUAGGUGGGGUAAUGGCUCACCUAGGCGACGAUCCCUAGCUGGUCUGAGAGGAUGACCAGCCACACUGGAACUGAGACACGGUCCAGACUCCUACGGGAGGCAGCAGUGGGGAAUAUUGCACAAUGGGCGCAAGCCUGAUGCAGCCAUGCCGCGUGUGUGAAGAAGGCCUUCGGGUUGUAAAGCACUUU